Long non-coding RNA from Microtus oregoni (creeping vole), 1137 nucleotides. RefSeq lists it as uncharacterized. Lineage: Eukaryota; Metazoa; Chordata; Mammalia; Rodentia; Cricetidae. The record is from RefSeq and is a predicted model, not a curated record. The transcript has 3 exons.
CAUGCCCUCACGGAAGGAGGGGUGGGCAGAUCAUAGGACCUUAACCUGAAAGUCCAGCCAACCCCUCCUGACAUUUUUGUGCAGUUUGGCCUGACUGUACUUAGGAGGUGCCAGAGCGCCUAGGUGGGAAAGCUAACAGGGAUGAGUUCCUCGCAGUCAGGGUGGGGAGUAUCCUCCAUGCUCAGCACAGACCUUCCAAUUCUUAGACUUCAUUCAUGUUCUCAGUUCCCAGGGUUGCUUUAAUUUCCUCUCGGGAUAGGCUUCCACACACACCAGCAGUGACCAGCCACCAUACAGAUCACUUCAGGAUGGCUGUCACACGUCAGGAAUGCGAGGAAAUAAUCUCAACUGCGCAGUCACCGUCAUCCACAGGAGAUGUGUUCUGAGGCCACCAGAGGCUGGCUGAAGACGAGGAGAUUGCCUGCCAUCUGUCUAGAUGUGUGAUUACGUUUGGGGCACAGUAAAAGACUAGCCAAGGCGAUAAGAGAGACCAGUUAACGCGAUAUGCUGAGAGAAAGAGAAGUGGCUGUGGCCUCUCUGUUUCCGAGCAUCUUUCUCCACCACAGAAGCUCCUUCCUGGGUCAAGUUCUUGAGCACAGAAUGGCGCAGUUGUCCACCUACGAGCCAGGAUCAAGCUGGAAGAUGCACAAGCAUGAGCAAGUUUUGAGUGGAUGGAGUGUGUGCACGUGUGUGAGAGGGUGUGUGCCAUGGACCAGAGGAGGAUGUUGGCAGUUACUCCAUCUGUAUGCCUCCUCUCUCACUGAACCUGGAGCCAGGCAAGUGACUAGCAAACCUCAGCGACCUUCCUGUGCCCUCCCUUUGCAGCGCUGGGCUGGAGGUGAGCACGCAGUGCUCUCCCAGCUUCUUAUAUGGGUUCUGAAGAUGUGAACUCAGGUCCUCAAGCUUGUACACCAAGCGCUCUUCCCUGCUGGGUCAUCGCCCCAGCCCUGACGUGUGUUUUUAAAAAACAAUCCCCAAGAGUUCCUUUCCUUUCCGAUAAGUCUUUGAUUUUGCAAAUAUCCAUUUCCACCCCGCUGCGGCACUGUUGCUCCCUCCACGGUGCCUCCUGAUUAUUACAAACAGUGAUGGCCUUUGUCCAAGUUCCCAAUGUUUCCUUUAGUUAACACUUUGGUACGG